Molecule: ribosomal RNA, 279 nt
Filed under: uncultured bacterium
Lineage: Bacteria
Description: partial 16S ribosomal RNA
Rfam family: Bacterial small subunit ribosomal RNA
Source: RNAcentral
UGCCAGCCGCCGCGGUAAUACGGAGGGUGCAAGCGUUGUUCGGAAUUAUUGGGCGUAAAGCGCGUGUAGGCGGUUCGUUAAGUCUGAUGUGAAAGCCCGGGGCUCAACCCCGGAAGUGCAUUGGAAACUGGCGAACUUGAGUACGGGAGAGGAAAGUGGAAUUCCGAGUGUAGGGGUGAAAUCCGUAGAUAUUCGGAGGAACACCAGUGGCGAAGGCGGCUUUCUGGGCCGUCUCUGACGCUGAGGUGCGAAAGCUAGGGUAGCGAACGGGAUUAGAUA